AAGCUCGUAGUUGAAUUUCGGGAUUGAUUUAUCGGUCGUGCUUUUGUACGUACUGGUAUUAUUGAUUCCUACCUUCUGACGAACCAUGAUGUCAUUAAUUUGGUGUCUUGGGGAAUCAGGACUGUUACUUUGAAAAAAUUAGAGUGUUUAAAGCAGGCUCACGCUUGAAUACAUUAGCAUGGAAUAACGAAAUAGGACGUUUGAUUCUAUUUUGUUGGUUUCUAGGAUCGACGUAAUGAUUAAUAGGGGUAGUUGGGGGCAUUAGUAUUCAAUUGUCAGAGGUGAAAUUCUUGGAUUUAUUGAAGACUAACUACUGCGAAAGCAUUUGCCAAGGAUGUUUUCAUUAAUCAAGAACGAAAGUUAGGGGAUCGAAGACGAUCAGAUACCGUCGUAGUCUUAACCAUAAACUAUGCCGACUAGGGAUCGGAUGAUGUUAAUUUUUUAAUGACUCAUUCGGCGCCUUACGGGAAACCAAAGUGUUUGGGUUCCGGGGGGAGUAUGGUCGCAAGGCUGAAACUUAAAGGAAUUGACGGAAGGGCACCACCAGGGGUGGAGCCUGCGGCUUAAUUUGACUCAACACGGGAAAA
This 587-nucleotide ribosomal RNA is filed under the name uncultured Glomus. RNAcentral describes it as "SSU rRNA". It matches the Rfam family "Eukaryotic small subunit ribosomal RNA", at positions 624 to 1213 of the family's 1831-position model. Lineage: Eukaryota; Fungi; Glomeromycota; Glomeromycetes; Glomerales; Glomeraceae. The record is from RNAcentral.